GACGAACGCUGGCGGCGUGCUUAACACAUGCAAGUCGAGCGGUAAGGCCCUUUCGGGGGUACACGAGCGGCGAACGGGUGAGUAACACGUGGGUGACCUGCCCUCAGCUCUGGGAUAAGCCUGGGAAACUGGGUCUAAUACUGGAUAUGACUCCACGGUGCAUGUCGUGGGGUGGAAAGCCUUGUGCGGCUGAGGAUGGGCCCGCGGCCUAUCAGCUUGUUGGUGGGGUGANGGCCUACCAAGGCGACGACGGGUAGCCGGCCUGAGAGGGCGACCGGCCACACUGGGACUGAGACACGGCCCAGACUCCUACGGGAGGCAGGCAGUGGGGAAUAUUGGACAAUGGGCGCAAGCCUGAUCCAGCCAUGCCGCGUGAGUGGUGAAGGCC
This 388-nucleotide ribosomal RNA is filed under the name uncultured bacterium. RNAcentral's name for it is "bacterial SSU rRNA". It matches the Rfam family "Bacterial small subunit ribosomal RNA", at positions 28 to 416 of the family's 1533-position model. The record is from RNAcentral.